UCGUCAGCUCGUGUCGUGAGAUGUUGGGUUAAGUCCCGCAACGAGCGCAACCCUUGCCUUUAGUUGCCAGCAUUAAGUUGGGCACUCUAGAGGGACUGCCAGGGAUAACCUGGAGGAAGGUGGGGAUGACGUCAAAUCAUCAUGCCCCUUAUGCUUAGGGCUACACACGUGCUACAAUGGGUGGUACAGAGGGCAGCCAAGUCGUGGGGCGGAGCUAAUCCCUUAAAGCCAUUCUCAGUUCGGAUUGUAGGCUGAAACUCGCCUACAUGAAGCUGGAGUUACUAGUAAUCGCAGAUCAGAAUGCUGCGGUGAAUGCGUUCCCGGGUCUUGUACACACCGCCCGUCACACCAUGGGAGUUGGGGGCGCCCGAAGCCGGAUAGCUAACCUUUUGGAAGCGUCCGUCGAAGGUGAAACCAAUAACUGGGGUGAAGUCGUAACAAGGUAGCCGUA
This 451-nucleotide ribosomal RNA is filed under the name uncultured bacterium. RNAcentral describes it as "bacterial SSU rRNA". It matches the Rfam family "Bacterial small subunit ribosomal RNA", at positions 1052 to 1504 of the family's 1533-position model. The record is from RNAcentral.